GGCCCGGUAGCUCAGCGGAUAGAGUAGAAGUUUCCUAAACUUUUGGUCGGACGUUCGAUUCGUCUCCGGGUCA
This 73-nucleotide transfer RNA is filed under the name Spirochaetes bacterium ADurb.Bin133. RNAcentral's name for it is "tRNA-Arg". RNAcentral also lists the same sequence under 1 other name. The record is from RNAcentral. Lineage: Bacteria; Pseudomonadati; Spirochaetota.